This 183-nucleotide unclassified non-coding RNA is filed under the name Erioscirpus microstachyus. RNAcentral's name for it is "partial ITS1". Lineage: Eukaryota; Viridiplantae; Streptophyta; Magnoliopsida; Poales; Cyperaceae. The record is from RNAcentral.
UCGUUGCCUUCGAACAUGACCAGUGAACAUGUAACACAAAGCUACCGGGGAGGAGCUUUCUCCUCGGCCCCACCGGCCCUGGCCCUUCGGCCGGGUGUCGGAAUACGGCGCGGAAUGUCGCCAAGGAACACUGAUUUGCUGAGGCAGACGGCAAUAUGCUUGUGCUGCUGAGGCCAACAAAAC